UUAGAGUUUGAUCCUGGCUCAGGACCCUUGCUGGCGGCGCGCCUAACACAUGCAAGUCGAACGGAGUCAAGAGGAGCUUGCUUUUCUUGACUUAGUGGCGAACGGGUGAGUAACGCGUGAGUAACCUGCCCUGGAGUGGGGGACAACAGUUGGAAACGACUGCUAAUACCGCAUAAGCCCACGGAUCCGCAUGGAUCUGCGGGAAAAGGAUUUAUUCGCUUCAGGAUGGACUCGCGUCCAAUUAGCUAGUUGGUGAGGUAACGGCCCACCAAGGCGACGAUUGGUAGCCGGACUGAGAGGUUGAACGGCCACAUUGGGACUGAGACACGGCCCAGACUCCUACGGGAGGCAGCAGUGGGGGAUAUUGCACAAUGGGGGAAACCCUGAUGCAGCGACGCCGCGUGGAGGAAGAAGGUUUUCGGAUUGUAAACUCCUGUCGUUAGGGACGAUAAUGACGGUACCUAACAAGAAAGCACCGGCUAACUACGUGCCAGCAGCCGCGGUAAAACGUAGGGUGCAAGCGUUGUCCGGAAUUACUGGGUGUAAAGGGAGCGCAGGCGGACCGGCAAGUUGGAAGUGAAAACUAUGGGCUCAACCCAUAAAUUGCUUUCAAAACUGCUGGCCUUGAGUAGUGCAGAGGUAGGUGGAAUUCCCGGUGUAGCGGUGGAAUGCGUAGAUAUCGGGAGGAACACCAGUGGCGAAGGCGACCUACUGGGCACCAACUGACGCUGAGGCUCGAAAGCAUGGGUAGCAAACAGGAUUAGAUACCCUGGUAGUCCAUGCCGUAAACGAUGAUUACUAGGUGUGGGGGGAUUGACCCCUUCAGUGCCGCAGUUAACACAAUAAGUAAUCCACCUGGGGAGUACGACCGCAAGGUUGAAACUCAAAGGAAUUGACGGGGGCCCGCACAAGCAGUGGAGUAUGUGGUUUAAUUCGAAGCAACGCGAAGAACCUUACCAGGUCUUGACAUCCGAUGCAUAGUGCAGAGAUGCAUGAAGUCCUUCGGGACAUCGAGACAGGUGGUGCAUGGUUGUCGUCAGCUCGUGUCGUGAGAUGUUGGGUUAAGUCCCGCAACGAGCGCAACCCUUAUUGCCAGUUACUACGAAAGAGGACUCUGGCGAGACUGCCGUUGACAAAACGGAGGAAGGUGGGGAUGACGUCAAAUCAUCAUGCCCUUAUGACCUGGGCUACACACGUACUACAAUGGCGUUUAACAAAGAGAAGCAAGACCGCGAGGUGGAGCAAAACUCAAAAACAACGUCUCAGUUCAGAUUGCAGGCUGCAACUCGCCUGCAUGAAGUCGGAAUUGCUAGUAAUCGCGGAUCAGCAUGCCGCGGUGAAUACGUUCCCGGGCCUUGCACUCACCGCCCGUCA
This 1374-nucleotide ribosomal RNA is filed under the name uncultured bacterium. RNAcentral's name for it is "16S ribosomal RNA". It matches the Rfam family "Bacterial small subunit ribosomal RNA". The record is from RNAcentral.